This 253-nucleotide ribosomal RNA is filed under the name uncultured bacterium. Its description in RNAcentral is "partial 16S ribosomal RNA". It matches the Rfam family "Bacterial small subunit ribosomal RNA", at positions 524 to 776 of the family's 1533-position model. The record is from RNAcentral.
AACGUAGGACGCAAGCGUUAUCCGGAGUUACUGGGCGUAAAGCGCGGGCAGGCGGCUCGAAACGUCUGAUGUGAAAUCUCCUCGCUCAACGGGGAGAGGCCAUGGGAAACGGUCGAGCUGGAGGGCAGUAGAGGUAGGCGGAAUUCCGGGUGGAGUGGUGAAAUGCGUAGAGAUCCGGAGGAACACCAGAGGCGAAGGCGGCCUACUGGGCUGCACCUGACGCUGAGCCGCGAAAGCCAGGGGAGCGAACGGG